This 470-nucleotide ribosomal RNA is filed under the name Catostomus commersonii (white sucker). RNAcentral describes it as "partial large subunit ribosomal RNA". It matches the Rfam family "Bacterial large subunit ribosomal RNA", at positions 1857 to 2526 of the family's 2925-position model. The record is from RNAcentral. Lineage: Eukaryota; Metazoa; Chordata; Actinopteri; Cypriniformes; Catostomidae.
GCCUGCCCAGUGACUAUGGGUUCAACGGCCGCGGUAUUUUGACCGUGCAAAGGUAGCGCAAUCACUUGUCUUUUAAAUGAAGACCCGUAUGAAUGGCUAAACGAGGGCUUAACUGUCUCCCCUUUCCAGUCAGUGAAAUUGAUCUAUCCGUGCAGAAGCGGGUAUAAAUCUACAAGACGAGAAGACCCUUUGGAGCUUAAGGUACAGACCCAAUCGCGUUAAACAACUUAUUAAAGAGCAUAAACUUAGCGCAUCAUGGAAUCUUACCUUCGGUUGGGGCGACCACGGAGGAAAAAACAGCCUCCGAGUGGACCGGGAAUAAAUCCUAAAGUUAAGAGCAACACCUCUAAACCACAGAACAUCUGACCAAACAUGAUCCGGACAUAAGUCCGAUCAACGAACCAAGUUACCCUAGGGAUAACAGCGCAAUCCUCUCCCAGAGUCCAUAUCGACGAGGGGGUUUACGACCU